Molecule: long non-coding RNA, 354 nt
Organism: Gambusia affinis (western mosquitofish)
Lineage: Eukaryota; Metazoa; Chordata; Actinopteri; Cyprinodontiformes; Poeciliidae
Exons: 4
Source: RefSeq, a predicted model, not a curated record
AACUAACUAACUAACUAACUAACUCACUCACUCCCUCUUUCGUUACCUAGCAACGCACUCACUCUUUGGUCACCUAGCAACAAUCUAUUGGCCAUAUUGUCGAGCCAUGUUGAAUUGACUCACGCUGUCCCGCCCGGCAUGGAAAAAAGGUCGUCCAAAACCACGGACAUCACCUUUAAGACAGUAAAAGCCGACCGACAUGGAUGCAGGCCGCUGCUGUUUUGUGUUCCUCGUCAUAUGAACUCGUCUCCUGAGUGCAGAUGCUGUCAGAGUGAUCGAUCCGCUCUGCGGCUGAAGAACUCCACAUGUAAAAUAAAACGUCUGGCUGCUCGCGCACGGUGACACUUUGCACUU